GGGCGUUUGGUUUAGUGGUAUAACAUAUCUUUCGCAUAGAUAGGGUCGCCGGUUCGAUUCCGGCAACGUCCA
Coccidioides posadasii str. Silveira is the source of this 72-nucleotide transfer RNA. It matches the Rfam family "tRNA". Rfam says of the family: Transfer RNA (tRNA) molecules are approximately 80 nucleotides in length. The record is from Rfam. Lineage: Eukaryota; Fungi; Ascomycota; Eurotiomycetes; Onygenales; Onygenaceae.